RNAcentral lists this ribosomal RNA (494 nucleotides) under uncultured bacterium. RNAcentral's name for it is "partial 16S ribosomal RNA". It matches the Rfam family "Bacterial small subunit ribosomal RNA", at positions 28 to 507 of the family's 1533-position model. The record is from RNAcentral.
GACGAACGCUGGCGGCGUGCUUAACACAUGCAAGUCGAACGGUGAAGCGCCUUCUUUUUUGGCGGGUGUGGAUGAGGGGCGAACGGGUGAGUAACACGUGAGUAACCUGCCCCCUUCUGCUGGAUAACCGCAUGAAAGUGUGGCUAAUACGGGAUAUUCUGGGUCUGUCGCAUGAUGGGUCUGGGAAAGAUUUUGUUUCGGUGGGGGAUGGUCUCGCGGCCUAUCAGGUUGUUGGUGGGGUGAGGGACUACCAAGGCGAUGAGGGGUAGCCGGCCUGGGAGGGUCGACGGCAACAGAGGGACUGCGAGGCGGCGCAGACUCCUACGGGAAGCAGCAGUGGAGAAUACGGAACAGUGGGCAGCAGGCUGGUGCAGCGCCGCCGGGUGAGUGAUGGUCUCCUUCGCGUAGUGAACCUCUUUCGGGGGUGAAGCAGGGCUGACUUGUUUGUGCGUGGGUUGACGGUAGCUGAACAGGAAGCGCCGGCUAACUACGUG